This 253-nucleotide ribosomal RNA is filed under the name uncultured bacterium. Its description in RNAcentral is "partial 16S ribosomal RNA". It matches the Rfam family "Bacterial small subunit ribosomal RNA", at positions 524 to 776 of the family's 1533-position model. The record is from RNAcentral.
GACGUAGGGCGCGAGCGUUGUCCGGAUUUAUUGGGCGUAAAGAGCUCGUAGGCGGCUUGUCGCGUCGACUGUGAAAUCUCAGGGCUCAACUCUGACGUUGCAGUCGAUACAGGCAGGCUAGAGUUCGGUAGGGGAGACUGGAAUUCCUGGUGUAGCGGUGGAAUGCGCAGAUAUCAGGAGGAACAUCAGUGGCGAAGGCGGCUGUCUGGCCCAAUACUGACACUCAGGUGCGACAGCGUGGGGAGCAAACAGG